This 575-nucleotide ribosomal RNA is filed under the name alpha proteobacterium 7RSW-27. RNAcentral describes it as "bacterial SSU rRNA". It matches the Rfam family "Bacterial small subunit ribosomal RNA", at positions 54 to 676 of the family's 1533-position model. Lineage: Bacteria; Pseudomonadati; Pseudomonadota; Alphaproteobacteria. The record is from RNAcentral.
CAUGCAGUCGAACGGAUCCUUCGGGAUUAGUGGCAGACGGGUGAGUAACGCGUGGGAAGCUACCUUGUGGUAGGGAACAACAGUUGGAAACGACUGCUAAUACCCUAUGAGCCCUAUGGGGGAAAGAUUUAUCGCCAUGAGAUGUGCCCGCGUUAGAUUAGCUAGUUGGUAAGGUAAUGGCUUACCAAGGCGACGAUCUAUAGCUGGUCUGAGAGGAUGAUCAGCCACACUGGGACUGAGACACGGCCCAGACUCCUACGGGAGGCAGCAGUGGGGAAUAUUGGACAAUGGGGGCAACCCUGAUCCAGCCAUGCCGCGUGUGUGAUGACGGCCUUAGGGUUGUAAAGCACUUUCAGCAGUGAAGAUAAUGACAUUAACUGCAGAAGAAGCCCCGGCUAACUUCGUGCCAGCAGCCGCGGUAAUACGAAGGGGGCUAGCGUUGUUCGGAAUCACUGGGCGUAAAGCGUACGUAGGCGGGCUGAUAAGUUAGGGGUGAAAUCCCGGGGCUCAACCCCGGAACUGCCUUUGAUACUGUCAGUCUUGAGAUCGAGAGAGGUGAGUGGAACUCCGAGUGU